GACGAACGCUGGCGGCGUGCUUAACACAUGCAAGUCGAACGGAAAGGCCCUGCUUUUGUGGGGUGCUCGAGUGGCGAACGGGUGAGUAACACGUGAGUAACCUGCCCUUGACUGUGGGAUAACUUCAGGAAACUGGGGCUAAUACCGGAUAGGAGCUCCUGCUGCAUGGUGGGGGUUGGAAAGUUUCGGCGGUUGUGGAUGGACUCGCGGCUUAUCAGCUUGUUGGUGGGGUAGUUGCUUACCAAGGCUUUGACGGGUAGCCUGCCUGAGAGAGUGACCGGCCACAUUGGGCCUGAGAUACGGCCCAGACUCCUACGGGAGGCAGCAGUGGGGAAUAUUGCACAAUGGGCGGAAGCCUGAUGCAGCAACGCCGCGUGCGGGAUGACGGCCUUCGGGUUGUAAACCGCUUUCGCCUGUGACGAAGCGUGAGUGACGGUAAUGGGUAAAGAAGCACCGGCUAACUACGUG
This 468-nucleotide ribosomal RNA is filed under the name uncultured bacterium. RNAcentral describes it as "partial 16S ribosomal RNA". It matches the Rfam family "Bacterial small subunit ribosomal RNA", at positions 28 to 507 of the family's 1533-position model. The record is from RNAcentral.